Molecule: ribosomal RNA, 253 nt
Filed under: uncultured bacterium
Lineage: Bacteria
Description: partial 16S ribosomal RNA
Rfam family: Bacterial small subunit ribosomal RNA
Source: RNAcentral
UACGUAGGGGGCAAGCGUUGUCCGGAUUUAUUGGGCGUAAAGAGCGUGUAGGCGGCCAGAUAGGUCAGCUGUGAAAACUCGAGGCUCAACCUCGAGAUGUCGGCUGAAACCAUCUGGCUAGAGUCCGGAAGAGGAGAAUGGAAUUCCCGGUGUAGCGGUGAAAUGCGCAGAUAUCGGGAAGAACACCCGUGGCGAAGGCGGUUCUCUGGGAUGGUACUGACGCUGAGACGCGAAAGCGUGGGGAGCGAACAGG